UUGGAGGGCAAGUCUGGUGCCAGCAGCCGCGGUAAUUCCAGCUCCAAUAGCGUAUAUUAAAGUUGUUGCAGUUAAAAAGCUCGUAGUUGAAUUUCGGGGUCAGUAGAUUGGUCAUGCCACUGGUAUGUACUGGUCUCACUGAUUCCUCCUUCCUGAUGAGCCGUAAUGCCAUUAAUUUGGUGUUGCGAGGAAUCUGGACUGUUACUUUGAAAAAAUUAGAGUGUUUAAAGCAGGCUAACGCUUGAAUACAUUAGCAUGGAAUAAUGAAAUAGGACGUUCGAUCUUAUUUUGUUGGUUUCUAAGAUUGACGUAAUGAUUAAUAGGGAUAGUUGGGGGCAUUAGUAUUCAAUUGUCAGAGGUGAAAUUCUUGGAUUUAUUGAAGACUAACUACUGCGAAAGCAUUUGCCAAGGAUGUUUUCAUUAAUCAAGAACGAAAGUUAGGGGAUCGAAGACGAUCAGAUACCGUCGUAGUCUUAACCAUAAACUAUGCCGACUAGGGAUCGGAUGAUGUUAAUUUUUUAAUGACUCAUUCGGCGCCUUACGGGAAAC
RNAcentral lists this ribosomal RNA (549 nucleotides) under Funneliformis mosseae. RNAcentral describes it as "SSU rRNA". It matches the Rfam family "Eukaryotic small subunit ribosomal RNA", at positions 548 to 1098 of the family's 1831-position model. The record is from RNAcentral. RNAcentral also lists the same sequence under 7 other names. Lineage: Eukaryota; Fungi; Glomeromycota; Glomeromycetes; Glomerales; Glomeraceae.